UUUAACUGAGCGUUCAGUUACUUGACGUAGACCCGAAACCGGGCGACCUACCCAUGAGCAGGAUGAAGCGAAAGUAAAAUUUCGUGGAGGUCCGAACCCACGAGCGUUGAAAAGCUCGGGGAUGACUUGUGGGUAGCGGUGAAAUUCCAAUCGAGCCCGGAGAUAGCUGGUUCUCCCCGAAAUAGCUUUAGGGCUAGCCUCAAGGUGAGAGAUACGGAGGUAGAGCACUGAAUGUCCUAGGGGGUAUUGCACCUACCGAAGACUAUCAAACUCCGAAUGCCGUCAUCUUAUACUUGGGAGUCAGACUGUGGGUGAUAAGAUUCAUAGUCGAAAGGGCAACAGCCCAGAUCGUCAGCUAAGGUCCCUAAAUGUAAGUUAAGUGGUAAAGGAUGUGGGAUUGCACAGACAACCAGGAUGUUGGCUUAGAAGCAGCCACUCAUUCAAAGAGUGCGUAAUAGCUCACUGGUCGAGUGAUCCUGCGCCGAAGAUUUCCGGGGCUAAAACUUACUACCGAAGCUACGGCAUCAGUAAUGAUGGGUAGGGGAGCUUCCCAUACGGGUUGAAGCAUGACCGUAAGGACAUGUGGACAGGAUGGGAGUGAGAAUGUUGGCAUGAGUAGCGAGAUGUGGGUGAGAAUCCCACAGGCCGUAAACCCAAGGUUUCCAGGGGAAGGUUCGUCCGCCCUGGGUUAGUCGGGACCUAAGCUGAGGCCGAAAGGCGUAGGUGAUGGACAACAGGUUGAUAUUCCUGUACUACCGAU
This 760-nucleotide ribosomal RNA is filed under the name Clostridioides difficile. RNAcentral's name for it is "bacterial LSU rRNA". It matches the Rfam family "Bacterial large subunit ribosomal RNA", at positions 683 to 1451 of the family's 2925-position model. The record is from RNAcentral. Lineage: Bacteria; Bacillati; Bacillota; Clostridia; Peptostreptococcales; Peptostreptococcaceae.